RNAcentral lists this ribosomal RNA (492 nucleotides) under uncultured bacterium. Its description in RNAcentral is "partial 16S ribosomal RNA". It matches the Rfam family "Bacterial small subunit ribosomal RNA", at positions 29 to 507 of the family's 1533-position model. The record is from RNAcentral.
AGUGAACGCUGGCGGUAGGCCUAACACAUGCGAGUCGAACGGCAGCACAGUAAGAGCUUGCUCUUACGGGUGGCGAGUGGCGGACGGGUGUGGAAUACAUCGGAAUCUACUUUUUCGUGGGGGAUAACGUAGGGAAACUUACGCUAAUACCGCAUACGACCUACGGGUGAAAGCAGGGGAUCUUCGGACCUUGCGCGAUUGAAUGAGCCGAUGUCGGAUUAGCUAGUUGGCGGGGUAAAGGCCCACCAAGGCGACGAUCCGUAGCUGGUCUGAGAGGAUGAUCAGCCACACUGGAACUGAGACACGGUCCAGACUCCUACGGGAGGCAGCAGUGGGGAAUAUUGGACAAUGGGCGCAAGCCUGAUCCAGCCAUACCGCGUGGGUGAAGAAGGCCUUCGGGUUGUAAAGCCCUUUUGUUGGGAAAGAAAAGCAGCAGGUUAAUACCCCGCUGUUCUGACGGUACCCAAAGAAUAAGCACCGGCUAACUUCGUG